UACGUAGGGGGCAAGCGUUGUCCGGAAUUAUUGGGCGUAAAGAGCGUGUAGGCGGUCCGGUAAGUCAGCUGUGAAAGUCAAGGGCUCAACCCUUGAAUGCCGGUUGAUACUGUCGGGCUAGAGUCCGGAAGAGGCGAGUGGAAUUCCCGGUGUAGCGGUGAAAUGCGCAGAUAUCGGGAGGAACACCGGUGGCGAAGGCGGCCCUCUGGACGGAUACUGACGCUGAGACGCGACAGCGUGGGGAGCAAACAGG
RNAcentral lists this ribosomal RNA (253 nucleotides) under uncultured bacterium. RNAcentral describes it as "partial 16S ribosomal RNA". It matches the Rfam family "Bacterial small subunit ribosomal RNA", at positions 524 to 776 of the family's 1533-position model. The record is from RNAcentral.